AUUGAACGCUGGCGGCAGGCUUAACACAUGCAAGUCGAGCGGGGUGAUGGUGCUUGCACUAUCACUUAGCGGCGGACGGGUGAGUACUGCUUAGGAAUCUGCCUAUUAGUGGGGGACAACAUCUCGAAAGGGAUGCUAAUACCGCAUACGUCCUACGGGGGAAAGCAGGGGAUCACUUGUGACCUUGCGGUAAUAGAUGAGACUAAGUCGGAUUAGCUAGUUGGUGGGGUAAGGGCCUACCAAGGCGACGAUCUGUAGCGGGUCUGAGAGGAUGAUCCGCCACACUGGGACUGAGACAUGGCUCAGACUCCUACGGGAGGCAGCAGUGGGGAAUAUUGGACAAUGGGGGGAACCCUGAUCCAGCCAUGCCGCGUGUGUGAAGAAGGCCUUAUGGUUGUAAAGCACUUUAAGCGAGGAGGAGGCUCUUUUGGUUAAUACCCAGAAUGAGUGGACGUUACUCGCAGAAUAAGCACCGGCUAACUCUGUGCCAGCCGCCGCCGUAA
RNAcentral lists this ribosomal RNA (503 nucleotides) under uncultured bacterium. RNAcentral describes it as "partial 16S ribosomal RNA". It matches the Rfam family "Bacterial small subunit ribosomal RNA", at positions 30 to 523 of the family's 1533-position model. The record is from RNAcentral.